AUGGUGGGAGAAGUUGAGGCUACUGAUCCUGAACUUCGGAAAGUGCAUGUUCAUGCAGUUAAAGCAAGAGAACAGAAUCCAGUGGUAAACCGUUUAACUAAAUUUUCUGACUGGUCCAGAGUGGUGAGAGCAAUUGCCAGGCUCAAGAGAUUUGUCAGAGAAUUCAAGGGAUUUCAGUCGAGAACUAAUGAAUCAACUAAUCUUGAAGAACGAAGAGAAGCAGAGGUCUUCAUCAUCAAACUCGUACAAGAAGACGCGUUUGCUGAAGACAUAAAGAAAAUGAGAGGCAAGAAGGAACACACUUUGAGCAGGCACAACAGGCUACGCCAGCUGAAUGCUUUCCUGGACAAAACCAAUGUUCUCAGGGUGGGAGGACGGCUGUCUCAGUCAGCCUUACACCAUGAUGUAAAGCAUCCAGCGAUACUUCCGAAAAAAUCUCACGUGUCAGCUCUGCUGGUCAAAUAUCAUCAUGAGCGCAUACACCACCAAGGAAGGGGCAUGACCAUGAAUGAGUUGUGCGCAAACGGAAUAUGGGUCCUAGGAUGUGGAAGUAUGGUCUCCUCACACAUUCACAAGUGUGUAAAAUGUAGACGAUACAGAAGAACAACUGAGGUUCAACAAAUGGCAAAUCUACCAGAAGAGAGAACUGAGACAUCUCCCCCCUUUACUUAUUGUGGGCUUGAUUGUUUUGGCCCCUUUAUUGUGAAGGAAGGAAGGAGAGAGUUGAAACGAUACGGAUUGUUAUUCACUUGCCUAUGCUCUAGAGCAGUUCACAUAGAAACUCUUGACGAUUUGACAACAGACGCAUUCGUGAAUGCACUUCGAUCAUUCAUAGCUAUUCGAGGACCCACGCGCCAGCUAAGAUGUGAUAGAGGAACAAACUUCGUUGGUGCUAGAAAGGAGCUUUCUGAGUUGCUUGAAGGAAUGGAACAAAAUCGUACAAGGGCGCUUGAUUGUGAAUUUGUGCUGAAUGUCCCAUCAGCUAGUCAUAUGGGAGGAGUUUGGGAGCGACAGAUUCGAACAAUCCGAAGCAUCUUGAUAGCUAUGCUCGACAAGUCCGCCAGCAGACUUGACACCACAACUCUAAGAACGCUUCUGUAUGAAACAAUGGCCAUAAUCAACAGCAGGCCACUAAGUGUCGAGCAUCUUCACGAUCCUACUGGUCCGGAACCCCUCACUCCCAACCACAUUCUGACCAUGAAGUCAUCUGUAAUUCUGCCACCUCCUGGACAAUUCUGCAAAGAAGACCUCUAUCUGCACAAAAGGUGGAGAAGAGUGCAGUUUUUGGCCAAUGAAUUUUGGCAACGAUGGAAACGAGAAUACCUGCUAAAUCUCCAACAACGACAGAAAUGGCAGAAGACGUCACGGAACUUGCAAGCAGAUGACAUUGUAAUAUUGAAGGAUGACAAUGCACCAAGAAACCAGUGGAAACUUGCAAGGGUUGUGAAAGCCCUGCCCAGCGCAGAUGGCAAGGUGCGAAAGCUAAAGCUUCUGCUCAGUGACACUACCUUUGAUAAGGGAAAACCAAUCACUAAAUUAGUUUACCUUGAAAGGCCUGUUCACAAAGUAGUUACAUUACUUGAGGUCGCCUAA
Long non-coding RNA from Nothobranchius furzeri (turquoise killifish), 1593 nucleotides. The record is from Ensembl. Lineage: Eukaryota; Metazoa; Chordata; Actinopteri; Cyprinodontiformes; Nothobranchiidae.